RNAcentral lists this transfer RNA (73 nucleotides) under Camelus bactrianus (Bactrian camel). It matches the Rfam family "tRNA". From Rfam's summary of the family: Transfer RNA (tRNA) molecules are approximately 80 nucleotides in length. Their secondary structure includes four short double-helical elements and three loops (D, anti-codon, and T loops). The record is from Rfam by way of RNAcentral. Lineage: Eukaryota; Metazoa; Chordata; Mammalia; Artiodactyla; Camelidae. RNAcentral also lists the same sequence under 2 other names.
GAGGGUAUAGCUCAAGUGGUAGAGAACAUGUUUUGCAUGCAUAGGGUUCUGGGUUCAAUCCCUACUACCUCCA